GCACUUGCGUAUCGCACGGUAAUCGCCUAUAUUUGACCUGCUUCUUCGGAAGCUAUGGUGAUAAACGCGACGUGGAAUAGUCGGAUUGGACCCGGGGGCAGUACCCGGCAGGUCCACCAGAAUUUGAAUGCUUCUCGAUAAGCCGGGCAGCAAGGUCAGCAGACCUUGCCAGCCAUGAGCCCGCGAAGCGGCAUUCCAUGGUGAAUCCAGCAGGAUGAGCCGGGAAUGAACAAAGUUUGGGCCUGAAGUAGGAUCGACAACCGCAAUAAAGGCUUCGCUUUUGCCCGGGAUGAUUCCGCCGUUAUCGGGUUGUUUUUUAAGUGCAAACGACAACGUAGCACUCGUUGCAGCUAACGACAACAACGUCGUAGCAGCCCGUCUCGCCGCUUAGUGUGGCCUGACGAGUUCUAGCUCGUAAACGCGGCCCGAGGGGAGCCGGGCAACAGAAUCCCCUCACU
This 458-nucleotide transfer-messenger RNA is filed under the name Azospirillum brasilense. It matches the Rfam family "Alphaproteobacteria transfer-messenger RNA". Rfam says of the family: Bacterial tmRNA, also known as 10Sa RNA or SsrA, is named for its dual tRNA and mRNA-like properties. Lineage: Bacteria; Pseudomonadati; Pseudomonadota; Alphaproteobacteria; Rhodospirillales; Azospirillaceae. The record is from RNAcentral.